Molecule: ribosomal RNA, 254 nt
Filed under: uncultured bacterium
Lineage: Bacteria
Description: partial 16S ribosomal RNA
Rfam family: Bacterial small subunit ribosomal RNA
Source: RNAcentral
UACGAAGGGGGCUAGCGUUGCUCGGAAUCACUGGGCGUAAAGCGCACGUAGGCGGCUUGUUAAGUCAGGGGUGAAAUCCUGGAGCUCAACUCCAGAACUGCCUUUGAUACUGGCAAGCUUGGAGUCCGGGAGAGGUGAGUGGAACUGCGAGUGUAGAGGUGAAAUUCGUAGAUAUUGGGAAGAACACCAGUGGCGAAGGCGGCUAACCGGUCCAGAUCUGACGCUGAGGUGCGAAAGCGUGGGGAGCAAACAGG